RNAcentral lists this transfer RNA (64 nucleotides) under Bactrocera moluccensis. Its description in RNAcentral is "tRNA-Arg". The record is from RNAcentral. Lineage: Eukaryota; Metazoa; Arthropoda; Insecta; Diptera; Tephritidae.
GAAUAUGAAGCGAUUUAUCGCAAUUAGUUUCGACCUAAUCUUAGGCGCCCAAUGCCCUUAUUCU